This 22-nucleotide microRNA is filed under the name Homo sapiens (human). RNAcentral describes it as "hsa-miR-4533". The record is from miRBase by way of RNAcentral. Lineage: Eukaryota; Metazoa; Chordata; Mammalia; Primates; Hominidae.
UGGAAGGAGGUUGCCGGACGCU